UAGGGAAUCUUCGGCAAUGGGGGGAACCCCGACCGAGCAACGCCGUGUGAGUGUAGAAGGUUUUCGGAUCGUAUAGCUCUGUUGUUAAGGAAGAACGAGUGUGAGAAUGGAAAGUUCAUGCUUUGACGGUACUUAACCAGAAAGGGACGGCUAACUACGUGCCAGCAGCCGCGGUAAUACGUAGGUCCCGAGCGUUGUCCGGAUUUAUUGGGCGUAAAGCGAGCGCAGGCGGUUAGAAAAGUCUGAAGUGAAAGGCAGUGGCUCAACCAUUGUAGGCUUUGGAAACUGUUUAACUUGAGUGCAGAAGGGGAGAGUGGAAUUCCAUGUGUAGCGGUGAAAUGCGUAGAUAUAUGGAGGAACACCGGUGGCGAAAGCGGCUCUCUGGUCUGUAACUGACGCUGAGGCUCGAAAGCGUGGGGAGCGAACAGG
This 429-nucleotide ribosomal RNA is filed under the name Bacteroidota bacterium. RNAcentral describes it as "Bacteroidetes bacterium partial 16S ribosomal RNA". It matches the Rfam family "Bacterial small subunit ribosomal RNA", at positions 355 to 776 of the family's 1533-position model. The record is from RNAcentral. Lineage: Bacteria; Pseudomonadati; Bacteroidota.